RNAcentral lists this ribosomal RNA (421 nucleotides) under uncultured bacterium. Its description in RNAcentral is "bacterial SSU rRNA". It matches the Rfam family "Bacterial small subunit ribosomal RNA", at positions 358 to 771 of the family's 1533-position model. The record is from RNAcentral.
GGAAUAUUGGACAAUGGGCGCAAGCCUGGUCCAGCCAUGCCGCGUGUGUGAAGAAGGCCUUCGGGUUGUAAAGCACUUUUGUUGGGGAAGAAAGCGUACGGAUUAAUACUUCGUGCGGAUGACGGUACCCAAAGAAUAAGCACCGGCUAACUUCGUGCCAGCAGCCGCGGUAAUACGAAGGGUGCAAGCGUUACUCGGAAUUACUGGGCGGAAAGCGUGCGCAGGCGGUUCGUUAAGUCUGCUGUGAAAGCCCUGGGCUCAACCUGGGAAUGGCAGUGGAUACUGGCGAGCUAGAGUACGGUAGAGGAAGGUGGAAUUCCCGGUGUAGCGGUGAAAUGCGUAGAGAUCGGGAGGAACACCAGUGGCGAAGGCGACCUUCUGGACCAGUACUGACGCUCAUGCACGAAAGCGUGGGGAGCAA